GAUGAGCGCUGGCGGCGUGCCUAAUACAUGCAAGUAGAACGCUGAAGGAAGGAGCUUGCUCUUUCCGGGUGAGUUGCGAACGGGUGAGUAACGCGUAGGUAACCUGCCUGGUAGCGGGGGAUAACUAUUGGAAACGAUAGCUAAUACCGCAUAACAGUACAUGUUGCAUGAUAUCUACUUAAAAGGUGCAAUGGCCCCACUAACAGGUGGACCUGCGUUGUAUUAGCUAGUUGGUGAGGUAACGGCUCACCAAGGGGACCGUACAUAGCCGGCCUGAGGGGGUGGACGGCCAACCUGGGACUGGGACCAGGGCCAGGACCCUUAGGGGGGGCGCCGGAGGGAAAUAUCGGAAAUGGAGGGAAGUCUUACCGCGGAACGCCGGGGGAGGUGAGGAGGGUUUCGGGUCGUAAAGGUCUGUUGUAAGAGAAGAAAGAGUGUGAGGGUGGAACGUUCACGCUGUGACGGUAUCUUAAGAGAAAGGACCGGCUAACUACGUG
RNAcentral lists this ribosomal RNA (497 nucleotides) under uncultured bacterium. Its description in RNAcentral is "partial 16S ribosomal RNA". It matches the Rfam family "Bacterial small subunit ribosomal RNA", at positions 28 to 507 of the family's 1533-position model. The record is from RNAcentral.